CUUCUUGGAUGAGUUGCGAACGGGUGAGUAACGCGUAGGUAACCUGCCUUGUAGCGGGGGAUAACUAUUGGAAACGAUAGCUAAUACCGCAUAACAAUGGAUGACACAUGUCAUUUAUUUGAAAGGGGCAAUUGCUCCACUACAAGAUGGACCUGCGUUGUAUUAGCUAGUAGGUGAGGUAACGGCUCACCUAGGCGACGAUACAUAGCCGACCUGAGAGGGUGAUCGGCCACACUGGGACUGAGACACGGCCCAGACUCCUACGGGAGGCAGCAGUAGGGAAUCUUCGGCAAUGGGGGCAACCCUGACCGAGCAACGCCGCGUGAGUGAAGAAGGUUUUCGGAUCGUAAAGCUCUGUUGUAAGUCAAGAACGAGUGUGAGAGUGGAAAGUUCACACUGUGACGGUAGCUUACCAGAAAGGGACGGCUAACUACGUGCCAGCAGCCGCGGUAAUACGUAGGUCCCGAGCGUUGUCCGGAUUUAUUGGGCGUAAAGCGAGCGCAGGCGGUUUGAUAAGUCUGAAGUUAAAGGCUGUGGCUCAACCAUAGUUCGCUUUGGAAACUGUCAAACUUGAGUGCAGAAGGGGAGAGUGGAAUUCCAUGUGUAGCGGUGAAAUGCGUAGAUAUAUGGAGGAACACCGGUGGCGAAAGCGGCUCUCUGGUCUGUAACUGACGCUGAGGCUCGAAAGCGUGGGGAGCGAACAGGAUUAGAUACCCUGGUAGUCCACGCCGUAAACGAUGAGUGCUAGGUGUUGGAUCCUUUCCGGGAUUCAGUGCCGCAGCUAACGCAUUAAGCACUCCGCCUGGGGAGUACGACCGCAAGGUUGAAACUCAAAGGAAUUGACGGGGGCCCGCACAAGCGGUGGAGCAUGUGGUUUAAUUCGAAGCAACGCGAAGAACCUUACCAGGUCUUGACAUCCCGAUGCUAUUUCUAGAGAUAGAAAGUUACUUCGGUACAUCGGUGACAGGUGGUGCAUGGUUGUCGUCAGCUCGUGUCGUGAGAUGUUGGGUUAAGUCCCGCAACGAGCGCAACCCCUAUUGUUAGUUGCCAUCAUUCAGUUGGGCACUCUAGCGAGACUGCCGGUAAUAAACCGGAGGAAGGUGGGGAUGACGUCAAAUCAUCAUGCCCCUUAUGACCUGGGCUACACACGUGCUACAAUGGUUGGUACAACGAGUUGCGAGUCGGUGACGGCAAGCUAAUCUCUUAAAGCCAAUCUCAGUUCGGAUUGUAGGCUGCAACUCGCCUACAUGAAGUCGGAAUCGCUAGUAAUCGCGGAUCAGCACGCCGCGGUGAAUACGUUCCCGGGCCUUGUACACACCGCCCGUCACACCACGAGAGUUUGUAACACCCGAAGUCGGUGAGGUAACCUU
RNAcentral lists this ribosomal RNA (1370 nucleotides) under Streptococcus salivarius. RNAcentral describes it as "bacterial SSU rRNA". It matches the Rfam family "Bacterial small subunit ribosomal RNA", at positions 83 to 1442 of the family's 1533-position model. The record is from RNAcentral. Lineage: Bacteria; Bacillati; Bacillota; Bacilli; Lactobacillales; Streptococcaceae.